Sinocyclocheilus rhinocerous is the source of this 388-nucleotide long non-coding RNA. RefSeq lists it as uncharacterized. The record is from RefSeq and is a predicted model, not a curated record. The transcript has 3 exons. Lineage: Eukaryota; Metazoa; Chordata; Actinopteri; Cypriniformes; Cyprinidae.
UUUAAAAAAACUUCAGCUGGAUAAUAAUGUUAUUGAGAGGAUUGAAGGAUUAGAAAACCUCACUAAUUUGGUCUGGCUUGAUCUGUCAUUUAAUAAUAUUGAAGUGAUUGAAGGACUGGACUCUCUUGUGAAACUUCAGGACCUGAGUUUAUUCAACAACCGCAUUUCUGUCAUUGAAAACCUGGACGCGCUGCAAGACCUGCACGUCCUCUCUUUUGGAAACAAUGCAAUUGCUCAACUUGAAAAUGUGUUAUACCUAAGAAAGUUUAAGAAUUUACGCACUCUCAAUCUUGCGGGAAACCCCAUCUGUGAGGAAGAGAGGUACAAGACAUUUGUGACAGCGUAUCUUCCAGACUUAGUUUAUCUGGACUACAGACUGCUGGAUGAA